UGAAUACGAGAUGCUACGGCGUCGAAGCAGUCUAUGUCAUACUUCCAAGAAAAGCUUGCACUGUCAUAAACAAAUAAUGCCUGUACCAUAACCGACACAGGUGGGUGGGUAGAGUAUACUAAGGGGCGCGAGAUAACUCUCUCUAAGGAACUCGGCAAAAUGACUCCGUAACUUCGGGAGAAGGAGUGCCUUAUUUUAUAAGGUUGCAAUAACAAGAUCCAAGCAACUGUUUACCAAAAACACAGGUCUCCGCUAAGUCGUAAGACGAUGUAUGGGGGCUGACGCCUGCCCAGUGCCAGAAGGUUAAAGAAGUUGGUUAGCAUCCGCGAAGCUGAUAACUGAAGCCCUGGUGAACGGCGGCCGUAACAAUAACGGUCCUAAGGUAGCGAAAUUCCUUGUCGGGUAAGUUCCGACCCGCACGAAAGGCGUAAUGAUUUGGAUACUGUCUCAGAGAGGGGCUCGGUGAAAUAGACUUGUCUGUGAAGAUGCGGACUACCUGCACCAGGACAGAAAGACCCUAUGAAGCUUUACUGUAACUUGAAAUUGAAAUUGGACUUUACUUGCGCAGUAUAGGUGGGAGGCGUUGAGAAUAUUCUUGCGGGAAUGUUGGAGCCAUCAGUGAGAUACCACUCUUGUAAUGUUAGAUUUCUAACUUUGUAUCAUUAUCUGGUCAAAGGACAGUUUCAGGCGGGCAGUUUGACUGGGGCGGUCGCCUCCCAAACGGUAACGGAGGCGCACAAAGGUUUCCUCUGAACGGGUAGAAAUCGUAUCUAGAGUGUAAAGGCAUAAGGAAGCUUGACUGUGAGACCUACAAGUCGAGCAGGGACGAAAGUCGGUCUUAGUGAUCUGACGGUGCUGAGUGGAAAGGCCGUCACUCAACGGAUAAAAGUUACUCUAGGAUAACAGGCUGAUCUCCCCCAAGAGUUCACAUCGACGGGGAGGUUUGGCACCUCGAUGUCGGCUCAUCGCAUCCUGGGGCGGUAGUACGUCCCAAGGGUUGGGCUGUUCGCCAUGAAAGCGGUACGCGAGCUGGGUUCAGAACGUCGUGAGACAGUUCGGUCCAUAUCCGGUGUAGGCGUUAGAAUAUUGAGAGGAGCCUUCUUUAGUACGAGAGGACCGAGAAGGACAUACCUCUGGUGUACCAGUUAUCGUGCCAACGGUAAACGCUGGGUAGCUAUGUAUGGAGUGGAUAACCGCUGAAAGCAUCUAAGUGGGAAGCCCACCUCAAGAUAAGUAUUCUC
This 1241-nucleotide ribosomal RNA is filed under the name metagenome. RNAcentral's name for it is "bacterial LSU rRNA". It matches the Rfam family "Bacterial large subunit ribosomal RNA", at positions 1564 to 2815 of the family's 2925-position model. The record is from RNAcentral.